Molecule: non-coding RNA, 580 nt
Organism: Cinara cedri
Lineage: Eukaryota; Metazoa; Arthropoda; Insecta; Hemiptera; Aphididae
Source: the annotation of a GenBank genome assembly
CCUAUACCGUUACGGUAUAGGGACGUUCCGAUACCACCGAUACAAGUAGAGUAUCGAUACUUUUUUUUCUUUCGAUACAAGUAGUGUUUGUGUCGAUACCAUGGUUUCGAUACUUUACUCAUAUCGAUAAAAAAAAAGUACUGGUAUCGAAUCAUUCAUACAAUCUAACCGCCAUCGGUUUAAAAAAUACUCGGACGGGAUCGAACAAUUGUUUUCGUUCAUUCUUUGUCUAGUGCCGAGUGCGACCACUCAUCUACUAUUACGUACUGUUCCAAUAAUUUCAUAUUUACGAUGCCGCCUCCGAUGGGUAAGCGCUCGAUGUAUUUUAGAAAAGUGGACAAAUUAAUCGCACAAUGCAAAAUUUGCUCUCAAAGUGUAAAAUAUUGUGGAAACAGUUUCUCGCUUAAACAGAUUAUUGCUCUUGGCAGAUCUAACCCGAAGAUCAAUGGUUUCGAGUUAUAAAUAAUUUUUGAAUAAUAAUAAAAUAUUAUUAAAUAAUUUGUAUUUUGUAUUGUAUUAAAAUAUUUAUUUUUUUUUCGAUACCUAUUUGUUAAUUGGAAUUACCCAUAAUAAACAUGAG